ACCAUGCAGUCGAGCGGUAAGGCCCUUCGGGGUACACGAGCGGCGAACGGGUGAGUAACACGUGGGUAACCUGCCCUGUACUCUGGGAUAAGCCUUGGAAACGAGGUCUAAUACCGGAUACGACCUUCAACCGCAUGGUUCGGGGUGGAAAGUUCCGGCGGUAUGGGAUGGACCCGCGGCCUAUCAGCUUGUUGGUGGGGUAAUGGCCUACCAAGGCGACGACGGGUAGCCGGCCUGAGAGGGUGACCGGCCACACUGGGACUGAGACACGGCCCAGACUCCUACGGGAGGCAGCAGUGGGGAAUAUUGCACAAUGGGCGAAAGCCUGAUGCAGCGACGCCGCGUGAGGGAUGACGGCCUUCGGGUUGUAAACCUCUUUCAGCAGGGACGAAGCGCAAGUGACGGUACCUGCAGAAGAAGCACCGGCUAACUACGUGCCAGCAGCCGCGGUAAUACGUAGGGUGCGAGCGUUGUCCGGAAUUAUUGGGCGUAAAGAGCUCGUAGGCGGUUUGUCGCGUCGGCCGUGAAAACUUGGGGCUUAACUCCAAGCUUGCGGUCGAUACGGGCAGACUUGAGUUCGGCAGGGGAGACUGGAAUUCCUGGUGUAGCGGUGAAAUGCGCAGAUAUCAGGAGGAACACCGGUGGCGAAGGCGGGUCUCUGGGCCGAUACUGACGCUGAGGAGCGAAAGCGUGGGGAGCGA
Molecule: ribosomal RNA, 701 nt
Filed under: Saccharothrix sp.
Lineage: Bacteria; Bacillati; Actinomycetota; Actinomycetes; Pseudonocardiales; Pseudonocardiaceae
Description: bacterial SSU rRNA
Rfam family: Bacterial small subunit ribosomal RNA
Source: RNAcentral